UCAUUUUCUUAUUCAAACCUGCUGCUGCUGAUAUGGGAUUCAUCCAUCUAAAAAUUGCUUUCGUUUUGCCCCUGCAACUAUUCAGGUGUGUGGAUAUUUGCUUGGAAAAUCAUAAUUGAAAUGAUAGGGGCGAGGCGAGUUGAGAAGAUAUCAGGGCUGAUGGGAAGCAGAGCACCUGUACUAUAUAGGAAGCCAUAGUCCUACAGAUAAGCAGAGCAUGUCUUCGACUUAUCCUUACAGCUCCAAUUGCAGUCAUCGUCCCACAACUUAGCUGCUUAUUUUUCAUAGUCUACACUAUAUGCUACACUCCAGGUCUUAAGAAAUCUUCCGGCAUAUGUGAAGAUAGUGGAGGUUGGGCCAUGGGAUGGGUUGCAAAACGAAAAGGAAAUCGUACCAAUCACCUUAAAGGAAUAAAGGUCCAGUUAAUUAAAAUGCUGGUUGCUUCAGGGUUGAAUGUCGUCGAGACCACGAGUUUUGUCUCACCGAAAUGGGUUCCACAGCUGGCAGACGCAAAGGAUGUAAUGGAUGCAAUCCAGAAUAUUCAAGGAGCCUGAUUUCCAGUGUUAACUCCAAACCAUAAACUGCUGUUUUGGAUGGAGCCAAGGAAGUGGCUGUCUUUGCCUCAGCUUCCGAGUCUUUUUCCAAGUCAAACAUAAAUUGCAGUAUCGAAGAUAGUCUUGAUCAUUCUAGAGAUGUUGCUUCUGCUGCCAGAGAGCUCUCACUUCCAGUUCGAGGGUAUAUAUCAUGCGUAGUUGGUUGCCCAGUGGAAGGAAUGGUGCCUCCAUCGAAAGUAGCUUACGUAGCUAAACGGCUCUUUGGGUUGCUCAGAAAUUUUCCUUGGUGAUACAAUCGGUGUUGGUACACCCGGUAAGUUUUACUGUUACCUUCUGCUAGUCUUUUCUGUUUUUACAUACACCAUUCAUUGAUGGAGAUUAGUUGAAGGAGACACAUAUCUAGAUAAACAUAUCCGUUCUAGUCGUGAGACAAAUGUGGAUGGUAACGUAGACAUGUUUUGGUUUCUUUUUUAUCGGAUGUGACACAUAAGAUUGCUCUUCUCAUUUGGAAAAACAUU
Molecule: long non-coding RNA, 1072 nt
Organism: Hibiscus syriacus
Lineage: Eukaryota; Viridiplantae; Streptophyta; Magnoliopsida; Malvales; Malvaceae
Exons: 5
Source: RefSeq, a predicted model, not a curated record